Molecule: transfer RNA, 77 nt
Filed under: bacterium ADurb.Bin400
Lineage: Bacteria
Description: tRNA-Arg
Rfam family: tRNA
About the family: Transfer RNA (tRNA) molecules are approximately 80 nucleotides in length. Their secondary structure includes four short double-helical elements and three loops (D, anti-codon, and T loops).
Source: RNAcentral
GCGCCCUUAGCUCAGCUGGAUAGAGCGACUGGCUUCGGACCAGUAGGUCGGGGGUUCGAAUCCCUCAGGGCGUACCA